Long non-coding RNA from Chiroxiphia lanceolata (lance-tailed manakin), 310 nucleotides. RefSeq lists it as uncharacterized. NCBI's taxonomy places the organism in Eukaryota, Metazoa, Chordata, Aves, Passeriformes, Pipridae. The record is from RefSeq and is a predicted model, not a curated record. The transcript is spliced from 3 exons.
UUCUCUGUUGCAUUUUCAGAAGAUAGCUCCAUAUUUGAAUCAGGCAAAGAGGCUUGGAAAGGGAAGCUUUGAGAGAUACACACUAAGGCAACCUUUUACAACUGCUGGUCUCUACUAGAUGGCUUUAGCAUGCUUCCCUUCUAGAGCCAAAAAUAGUUUUCCAGUGUCUGCCAGGCAAUUCAAUCAGCUUGAUCUUUGAUCGGUGAAUCAUCUAGUAUUGAAGUUCAUUGCAGCGUCCCAGUAGCUGAAAGAAAAAAGAGUUGCAGAAAGUCUCACAGGCAACAUGAAAGAUCAGUGAAGAUUACAAUUA